This 587-nucleotide ribosomal RNA is filed under the name uncultured bacterium. RNAcentral's name for it is "bacterial SSU rRNA". It matches the Rfam family "Bacterial small subunit ribosomal RNA", at positions 338 to 948 of the family's 1533-position model. The record is from RNAcentral.
CCUACGGGAGGCAGCAGUGGGGAAUAUUGGACAAUGGGCGCAAGCCUGAUCCAGCAAUACCGCGUGGGUGAUGAAGGUCUUCGGAUUGUAAAGCCCUUUUAGUAGAGAAGAUAAUGACGGUAUCUACAGAAAAAGCACCGGCAAACUUCGUGCCAGCAGCCGCGGUAAUACGAAGGGUGCUAGCGUUGUUCGGAAUCACUGGGCGUAAAGGGUACGUAGGCGGUUUGGUAAGUCGAUUGUGAAAGCCCCAGGCUCAACCUGGGAACUGCAAUCGAAACUACUUUACUUGAGUUUGGUAGGGGAUGGUGGAAUUCCUAGUGUAGGGGUGAAAUCCGUAGAGAUUAGGAAGAACACCAGUGGCGAAGGCGACCAUCUAUGCCAAUACUGACGCUGAGGUACGAAAGCGUGGGGAGCAAACAGGAUUAGAUACCCUGGUAGUCCACGCCCUAAACGAUGAAUGCUAGUUGUCGGGGCCUUAGGCUUCGGCGGCGAAGUUAACACGAUAAGCAUUCCGCCUGGGGAGUACGGUCGCAAGACUAAAACUUAAAGGAAUUGACGGCUGAGANGCGACGACGACACGAGGAGAG